UCUUACGGCCACACCGCCUGGUUCCACGCCCGAUCUCAUUUGAUCUCGGAAGACAAGAUAGGUUGGGCCUGGUUAGUAUUUUGAUGGGAGACCGCCUGGGAAUACCAGGUGCUGUAAGCU
Ribosomal RNA from Scophthalmus maximus (turbot), 120 nucleotides. The record is from Ensembl. NCBI's taxonomy places the organism in Eukaryota, Metazoa, Chordata, Actinopteri, Pleuronectiformes, Scophthalmidae.